AAGAAAAGUCAUACAGCUCAGGUGUAGAGCAGAGGACUGAAUCC
Molecule: transfer RNA, 44 nt
Filed under: Poidium uniolae
Lineage: Eukaryota; Viridiplantae; Streptophyta; Magnoliopsida; Poales; Poaceae
Description: Chascolytrum uniolae partial tRNA-Phe
Source: RNAcentral